This 238-nucleotide ribosomal RNA is filed under the name uncultured bacterium. RNAcentral's name for it is "partial 16S ribosomal RNA". It matches the Rfam family "Bacterial small subunit ribosomal RNA", at positions 98 to 334 of the family's 1533-position model. The record is from RNAcentral.
CCGCACGGGUGAGUAACACGUAUCCAACCUGCCGUCUACUCUUGGCCAGCCUUCUGAAAGGAAGAUUAAUCCAGGAUGGCAUCAUGAGUUCACAUGUCCGCAUGAUUAAAGGUAUUUUCCGGUAGACGAUGGGGAUGCGUUCCAUUAGAUUGUAGGCGGGGUAACGGCCCACCUAGUCAACGAUGGAUAGGGGUUCUGAGAGGAAGGUCCCCCACAUUGGAACUGAGACACGGUCCAA